RNAcentral lists this ribosomal RNA (368 nucleotides) under uncultured organism. RNAcentral describes it as "bacterial SSU rRNA". It matches the Rfam family "Bacterial small subunit ribosomal RNA", at positions 526 to 896 of the family's 1533-position model. The record is from RNAcentral.
CGUAAGGGGCAAGCGUUGUCCGGAAUCACUGGGCGUAAAGCGCACGUAGGCGGUGUAGCAAGUUGGGGGUGCAAGCUCCGGGCUUAACCCGGAAACUGCCUCCAAAACUACUAUGCUUGAGAGUCAAAGGGGAAGCUGGAAUUCACGGUGUAGCGGUGAAAUGCGUAGAUAUCGUGGAGAACACCCGUGGCGAAGGCGGGCUUCUGGUUGACUUCUGACGCUGAGGUGCGAAAGCUAGGGGAGCGAACGGGAUUAGAUACCCCGGUAGUCCUAGCCGUAAACGAUGGGUACUAGGUGUGGGGGGUUAAACCUCCGUGCCGUCGCUAACGCAUUAAGUACUCCGCCUGGGGACUACGGCCGCAAGGUUA